Molecule: transfer RNA, 71 nt
Rfam family: tRNA
About the family: Transfer RNA (tRNA) molecules are approximately 80 nucleotides in length. Their secondary structure includes four short double-helical elements and three loops (D, anti-codon, and T loops).
Source: Rfam
GCGGGUAUGAUGUAAUGGUAGCAUGACGUCCUUCCAAGUCGUUCGUCUCGGUUCGAGUCCGUGUACCCGCU